UUGGUACUUGUACCGACUGGAUGAGCAGCGAACGGGUGAGUAACGCGUGGGGAAUCUGCCUUUGAGCGGGGGACAACAUUUGGAAACGAAUGCUAAUACCGCAUAAAACUUUAAACACAAGUUUUAAGUUUGAAAGAUGCAAUUGCAUCACUCGAAGAUGAUCCCGCGUUGUAUUAGCUAGUUGGUGAGGUAAAGGCUCACCAAGGCGAUGAUACAUAGCCGACCUGAGAGGGUGAUCGGCCACAUUGGGACUGAGACACGGCCCAAACUCC
This 272-nucleotide ribosomal RNA is filed under the name unidentified marine bacterioplankton. RNAcentral's name for it is "partial 16S ribosomal RNA". It matches the Rfam family "Bacterial small subunit ribosomal RNA", at positions 73 to 339 of the family's 1533-position model. The record is from RNAcentral.